CCUACGGGAGGCAGCAGUGGGGAAUAUUGGACAAUGGGGGGAACCCUGAUCCAGCCAUGCCGCGUGUGUGAAGAAGGCCUUUUGGUUGUAAAGCACUUUAAGCGAGGAGGAGGCUUACCUAGUUAAUACCUGGGAUAAGUGGACGUUACUCGCAGAAUAAGCACCGGCUAACUCUGUGCCAGCAGCCGCGGUAAU
This 195-nucleotide ribosomal RNA is filed under the name uncultured bacterium. Its description in RNAcentral is "partial 16S ribosomal RNA". It matches the Rfam family "Bacterial small subunit ribosomal RNA", at positions 338 to 524 of the family's 1533-position model. The record is from RNAcentral.